GGGGCUGGGGCUCAGCGGUAGAGCGCUCACCUAGCACGUGAGAGGCACGGGGUUCGAUCCUCAGCACCC
Molecule: transfer RNA, 69 nt
Filed under: Ictidomys tridecemlineatus (thirteen-lined ground squirrel)
Lineage: Eukaryota; Metazoa; Chordata; Mammalia; Rodentia; Sciuridae
Description: Spermophilus tridecemlineatus (thirteen-lined ground squirrel) tRNA
Rfam family: tRNA
About the family: Transfer RNA (tRNA) molecules are approximately 80 nucleotides in length. Their secondary structure includes four short double-helical elements and three loops (D, anti-codon, and T loops).
Source: Rfam by way of RNAcentral